RNAcentral lists this long non-coding RNA (523 nucleotides) under Brassica napus (rape). RNAcentral describes it as "long non-coding RNA (BNAP_LNC006679)". Lineage: Eukaryota; Viridiplantae; Streptophyta; Magnoliopsida; Brassicales; Brassicaceae. The record is from RNAcentral.
UAAGGGGUGGAGUUUUGGGAACAUGGUUUUAAAAAAAUAAAAAAAAAUUAAAAUUAAAAUUUUCAAAAUAAAAAGGGCUAUUUUGGUUAUUUUCGUUCUUGAGGUCUAUUUUUGUGACAAAACCUUAAAAACAAUUAUUUGAGAGAAUUGCCCAGAGUUUAUCCUAUAUUAAUAAAUUUAUUUUUGUAUAAAAAUAUUAUAUAGUGUACGAAUUUAAUCCAAUUUAAUGAUGAAUAAUAAUUUAUUUAAAUGAAACAAUUUUAAUGGUUUUUGUUAAUUUACCUAUUUAAUAUAGUUUUAUCAUAUUAGUUCAAAUAGCAGUUCUCUUUUUAUAUAAUACAUAAUAUAAUUAAAAAUUUUAACAUUGAUUUAUAAUAAUAUAAUAUUACUAAUUACGAAAUUAAUUAAUAUAAUAUUUUAUAAAAAUAUUUAAGUUUUUUAAGUAAGAUUUUGUUAAAUUUUUUUCAACAGAUUUUGUUAUAAUUAAAAAAAAAUAUAGUUGAUUUAUUAUUAAUGUAAAUAA